AUGCAAGUCGAACGAGGCGAAGCAAAACACUGUGUGUUUUGCAGUGGACAGUUGACAAUUGACAGUGGACAGUUACUGGAAUCCGCUUCGCGGAUUGAUUUUAAAAUUCACUCGCUAAAUGGCUUUUGCGCUCUUUGCAAAAGACAAUGCGAUACCACAACUAUCAACUAUCAACUAUCAACUAUCAACUGUGAAGCGAAACACAGAGUGUUUUGCUUCACCGAGUGGCGGACGGGUGAGUAACACGUGAGCAACCUGCCGAGUAGAGGGGGAUAACGUUCGGAAACGAAUGCUAAUACCGCAUAACAUACCGGGACCGCAUGGUUCUGGUAUCAAAGGAGUAAUCCGCUAUUCGAUGGGCUCGCGUCCGAUUAGAUAGUUGGUGAGGUAAUGGCUCACCAAGUCAGCGAUCGGUAGCCGGACUGAGAGGUUGAUCGGCCACAUUGGGACUGAGACACGGCCCAGACUCCUACGGGAGGCAGCAGUGGGGGAUAUUGCACAAUGGGGGAAACCCUGAUGCAGCGACGCCGCGUGAGUGAAGACGGCCUUCGGGUUGUAAAGCUCUGUUAUGGGGGACGAUAAUGACGGUACCCCAUUAGAAAGCCACGGCUAACUACGUGCCAGCAGCCGCGGUAAUACGUAGGUGGCGAGCGUUGUCCGGAAUUACUGGGUGUAAAGGGAGCGUA
RNAcentral lists this ribosomal RNA (686 nucleotides) under uncultured Clostridia bacterium. RNAcentral describes it as "bacterial SSU rRNA". It matches the Rfam family "Bacterial small subunit ribosomal RNA", at positions 55 to 573 of the family's 1533-position model. The record is from RNAcentral. Lineage: Bacteria; Bacillati; Bacillota; Clostridia.